RNAcentral lists this ribosomal RNA (502 nucleotides) under uncultured bacterium. RNAcentral describes it as "bacterial SSU rRNA". It matches the Rfam family "Bacterial small subunit ribosomal RNA", at positions 8 to 525 of the family's 1533-position model. The record is from RNAcentral.
AGAGUUUGAUCCUGGCUCAGGAUGAACGCUGGCGGCAGGCUUAAUACAUGCAAGUCGAACGGUAACAGUACUAGCAAUAGUAGCUGACGAGUGGCGCACGGGUGCGUAACGCGUAUGCAACCUACCCAUAAUUGGAACAUAACGUUGAGAAAUUAGCGCUAAUAUUCCAUGUGAAUAUAAAAAGACAUCUUAUUAUAUUUAAAGGUUUAUUGAUUAUGGAUGGGCAUGCGUAUCAUUAGCUAGUUGGUGAGGUAACGGCUCACCAAGGCGACGAUGAUUAGGGGUUCUGAGAGGAUUUCCCCCCACACUGGAACUGAAACACGGUCCGUACACCUACGGGUGGCAGCAGUAGGGAAUAUUAGAAAUGGACGAAAGUCUGAUCUAGCAACACCGCGUGUGCGAAGAAGGCCUUCGGGUCGUAAAGCACUUUUUGGAAGGAAUAGGAAGGAAUGUACUUCCAGAAUAAGUCUCGGCUAACUACGUGCCAGCAGCCGCGGUAAUA